GAUCCUACGGGAGGCAGCAGUGAGGAAUAUUGGUCAAUGGGCGAGAGCCUGAACCAGCCAAGUCGCGUGAAGGAUGACGGCCCUAUGGGUUGUAAACUUCUUUUGUCAGGGAGCAAUUGGGUCCACGCGUGGGCUUAGCGAGAGUACCUGAAGAAAAAGCAUCGGCUAACUCCGUGCCAGCAGCCGCGGUAAUACGGAGGAUGCGAGCGUUAUCCGGAUUUAUUGGGUUUAAAGGGUGCGUAGGCGGAAUAUCAAGUCAGCGGUAAAAAUUCGGGGCUCAACCGCGUCGUGCCGUUGAAACUGAU
This 305-nucleotide ribosomal RNA is filed under the name uncultured bacterium. RNAcentral's name for it is "bacterial SSU rRNA". It matches the Rfam family "Bacterial small subunit ribosomal RNA", at positions 335 to 637 of the family's 1533-position model. The record is from RNAcentral.